Myotis lucifugus (little brown bat) is the source of this 72-nucleotide non-coding RNA. The record is from Rfam. NCBI's taxonomy places the organism in Eukaryota, Metazoa, Chordata, Mammalia, Chiroptera, Vespertilionidae.
GCCAGUUUGGCUCAGUAGAUAGAGCAUUGGCCUGUGGGCCAAAGGGUCCCAGGUCAAUUCCUGUCAAUGGCA